Pezoporus occidentalis (night parrot) is the source of this 1242-nucleotide long non-coding RNA. RefSeq lists it as uncharacterized. The transcript has 2 exons. NCBI's taxonomy places the organism in Eukaryota, Metazoa, Chordata, Aves, Psittaciformes, Psittacidae. The record is from RefSeq and is a predicted model, not a curated record.
CUACUUUACCUACCUACAGUUUUAUAACUCCAUCUGUUUUCCAAGGAGAAGUAUUCAAUAGUUACCAUUUAUGAUGGUAUGACUUAAAUUAUUACCAUAUAAUGAAACUCACUUCCAAUUUCUAAAAAAAUAUUUGUUCAGUACAUGACAAAGAGAUGGAGCAGAAUAAAAUUAAAAAUUGAACAUGCAUAAAACUCAAACAAAUGAACAUGAAACUAUUUGAUAAGCCCCAGUAUAAGGCAAAACUGAUCUUGAAGUUUCUGAGCAACUCAGAUAUGGAGAUCUUCCAGUCCUUUUCUGCUUAAAAUAGUUUAAGAAUUCAUUCCCACAGGAACAGAACAGCACUGUAUACACGUAGAUAACAGAAAAGGUGGUUUACUAUGACAAGCGAGGAAAAGAUGUAGACUACAAGAUUUUUUCUUUUUAUAAAAGAAUGAUGAAAACAUAAUUUUUUUAUUUUUAUGCAUUUAAUGGUUUAGACUUUGCACUUGAAAAAGAAAACAUUCUUCAUAAGGACUCUGACCUUUAUAUACUACACAGAUUGUGGACAAAGGGGUCUGAACAAAGACUCUCAAUAGGAACUGCCUGCCUCAUGUUUUCACUCUUCUUCUAGCAAAAACGUUAAUCAUUUGGCAUUGCAUACUAAAAGAAAAAUAAUAAUAAAAUAGAUAAUGACUUGCUUGCAGUUCAAUUUACUUGUGUCAUGAUAUAAUAAAUACCAAGCUGAGUUUUCACAAUAUUAAUCAUUAACCUAGGAGAGGGCAUUCGCUUAAAAUUCUUGUUUCAUGAAUACAUUUGCAGUUAUUUUAACAGCAGUUCCAAAUAUGCUGAAGACAUAAACAAGCCCAAGUGCCCCCAGAAGCCAAACUCCUUUUCAUCUUUUAACUUUUGGAUAUAAAGUUAUCAUCCAUCUCCCCUGAUCGAACAGUCUCUGAAACCUGAACAACUGAAGCAAAGUUGGAUUCUGGGAGCUUUUCCUCUGUGACAGACUUCUCAGGCCCACAGCAAAAUGUUUCAGGUACUGAACUGAAGAUUCUGCAACAACAUUAGAAGAUUAUUUGGAAAAAAAGUCUAUUCUACUGGAAGGUUAGAGAUUGGUUCAAAAAAAUUUAGAAAUAAUUGGUCCAGCACUGAGAAGACUUCAUGGGCUUAAUAUUGUAUCUUGUUUAGGAGAGAGAAGAGUGAAAAAUCCUAUUUGCUUGGAUUUUGUAUUUAUAAUAAAGGUGGAAUUUUGUAUUUAAA